Molecule: long non-coding RNA, 227 nt
Filed under: Homo sapiens (human)
Lineage: Eukaryota; Metazoa; Chordata; Mammalia; Primates; Hominidae
Description: long non-coding RNA NONHSAT076393.2
Source: RNAcentral
UUCUGCCUUUCUGCUGGAGGGAAGUGUUUUCACAGGUCAUGCUCUAUCAGAUUUCAGAAGAAGUGAGCAGAUCAGAAUUGAGGUCUUUUAAGUUUCUUUUGCAAGAGGAAAUCUCCAAAUGCAAACUGGAUGAUGACAUGACCUGCUGGAUAUUUUCAUAGAGAUGGAGAAGAGGGUCAUCCUGGGAGAAGGAAAGUUGGACAUCCUGAAAAGAGUCUGUGCCCAAA